AACAUCCAUUUUAUAAUCCAAGUAAACCAUACAACCACCUAAGACAAAAUCAUCACUGUCACGCAGAAAAAUCCCGAUGCCAACCACUGUGUCAUGAAUCCCUACAUCAACAUUUAUCUUAAUGACAUCAAUUGGGGGCUUAACCCACCUUUGGGAUCUAGGAGGUCUAGGUUUCAUCGCAACAUGCGACAAGUUAAAAAUCCUAAAAUCAUCCCCCAAAGUACAAGCCCGCUCCCAAAUCAACCGAGCAUCCUUCUCCUUCUCGCAGAACAAAGCAUUGUUGCGACUAUUUCGAAUAUUCCAAAGGACCAUAUGAGGUUCUCAAAAGCCUUAAGGUCCAACAAGCGAGUAGCAUCCUCAAGCCAAUCAAUACACCUCUCAAAAGCAGAAUCAAGUAAAUGACCA
Molecule: long non-coding RNA, 405 nt
Filed under: Gossypium barbadense (sea-island cotton)
Lineage: Eukaryota; Viridiplantae; Streptophyta; Magnoliopsida; Malvales; Malvaceae
Description: long non-coding RNA (GBAR_LNC020131)
Source: RNAcentral